CCUACGGGAGGCAGCAGUGAGGAAUAUUGGUCAAUGGUCGGGAGACUGAACCAGCCAAGCCGCGUGAGGGAUGAAGGUACAGAGUAUCGUAAACCUCUUUUGUCAGGGAACAAAGGCGGGGACGUGUCCCCGGAUGAGUGUACCUGAAGAAAAAGCAUCGGCUAACUCCGUGCCAGCAGCCGCGGUAAUACGGAGGAGCCGAGCGUUAUCCGGAUUUAUUGGGUUAAAGGGGUGCGCAGGCGGUUUGUUAAGUCCGCGGUCAAAGCCCGGGGCUCAACCCCGGCCCGCCGUUGAAACUGGCAGUCUUGAGUUGGAGAGAAGUAUGCGGAAUGCGCGGUGUAGCGGUGAAAUGCAUAGAUAUCGCGCAGAACUCCGAUUGCGAAGGCAGCAUGCCGGCUCCACACUGACGCUGAGGCACGAAAGCGUGGGUAUCGAACAGGAUUAGAUACCCGUGUAGUC
This 459-nucleotide ribosomal RNA is filed under the name uncultured bacterium. Its description in RNAcentral is "partial 16S ribosomal RNA". It matches the Rfam family "Bacterial small subunit ribosomal RNA", at positions 338 to 795 of the family's 1533-position model. The record is from RNAcentral.